Numida meleagris (helmeted guineafowl) is the source of this 4065-nucleotide long non-coding RNA. RefSeq lists it as uncharacterized. NCBI's taxonomy places the organism in Eukaryota, Metazoa, Chordata, Aves, Galliformes, Numididae. The transcript has 4 exons. The record is from RefSeq and is a predicted model, not a curated record.
UCAGGUGCCAUCUGCUGAGCUAACAGAAACCAAUUGUUUGCUGAGUCCAACAAAGGGCAGCUCACAGCAAACUGAAAGUAUACUCAUUCUGGCAGUGCCUAAAGCACAGCCUCCAUCACCACUGCAAAGAGCAAGGCCUGAGGAUGUUACAGCCAACACACUGAGGUUUUUAGCAGCAGAAUUGCUUCUUCCCUCAAGAUUUCUGCAAAGGAACACGAGAGCAGAGAGAACAUUUUAACAAGGAGAUCUUCAACAGGUAGCUGACCAUGAAACAUGUUUGGCAGUACAGGUUUUCAGCUCUCCAGUCCUUUUUGCUAUUGGUUUGGGCAAAACUCAUCUGUGAAAAUGACAGCAUUCCUUGCAAAACUUGUGAAAAACCAAAGACUUUGCACAGGAAGGCAGAAGGGCUCAUGUUGGUGAUGGUGUCUCCAGCACUGUACCUGUAAGCCUCCAAACCCCACCUUAAGAACCUGACAUGCAAGGAAGCAGGAAACAGGGCUGCUGAAAGCAAGCACGAUGACCCAGGGCCACUGAAAGGAAGCAGGACCAGGCUGCACAGCCAGAAUCACUUCUGCAGGAUGGAGAGGGUGCAGAAGGAAGAGGAAACACUGAUGGCGGAUGUCUGUCAGACUUCUCCAGGUCUCCAAAGAGGACAGUGAUUCCCAUCACCAAUCAUCCAGCCCAGGAGUAAGGGCAACCCCUGGCAACACAAGCACAGUGAGGCUGAGGUUCCCAGCAGCCCCAGUUUCUGCAGGUGCAUGGUUUCAAACCUUGUACGGUCUCUGCUGCUCAUGCUCACCACUCUGACCAAUCUCUCAGCUUUGCCAGAGUGUUCUGUUUUCCAGCCAUGGAAUGGAUUUUUGCAGCAGAGCAACAGAACACUUUCUUCAGCAUUUUGUGAAACAACUGGUGGGAUCUGUGAGCUCCCAUACAUCACAGGAGCAAGGAACAACUUUACCAUGCCCAGAACCUGGGCCUCACCUGGCUUCAGGCUGCACAAGAUUUGUUCUCUGACACUGUAUUACAAAAGCUCUUCUGCAUAAGGUUUACCAAUCCUGAAGAAAGCAGGCGGAGGUGAGUUAGCAUUCAGUUUAAUGGAGAGAUACGCUACUGGCUGUAGCCCCAGGCUGAUGAGGCACUGCUGCAGGCCAUGCUCAGAACCACUGCCCAAGCUGCAAAGCCCAGGACGUGCAUUGUCACACGUGGUCCUUUGCUGCUUGCUGAGCGCUGAGCCACGGCGCGAGGUCAGCUCACACUGUGCUUCCCAGGUUUUGGAGAGAGAGAAUGAUAGCCUAAAGCCACUAUGCAUAUUUUGAUCCUGAACAGGCAAACCUAGGAUUGCUUGGACCACGCCAAGUCCUUGUGUGUGUUGAAUUACUCUCACACAAAGUGUGAGACACUUUGUCUGGUCUUUGUGUUUUCCUAACAGCGCUCUUCCUCUUCCUUUCCUUCAUUGGUCUCCAUUGUCUUUAGAUCUUCAUCUACUUGCCAGGACUUGCCACAGCCUCAGAUAUUUUCUACCGGUGUAUUUUUUUUUCAGGUCUUCAGCUUCUUAUUUUCCAGCUCUCCUGCACCCUAGAGUAAAGUCUGUCUCUGAGGUUUCACUUGGACGUGUUUUCAGCAUUAGACAACUUCUUUGGUAACCUUUAGACGCACAUUCAGGUAGAUGUACAUUCGGUCUCUCAUUUCCAUGUUACCAUCGCAGCAGCCAGUGAAGCCUGCUGCCCUCACUCCAGUGAAGAAAACUUCUUCCCCUUUUGCUGCUACCUCUGAGCAGGGAGAUAUCAAAGACCUUGCAGCUACAGAGCACCUACACUUUUUUUUUUUCCCUUUAUAUACUGUUUUCCUGUGGGGUUUGCAAAGCCAUUUUUUACUUCUUGCAACUCAAAAUUUCUGUUCAGGUGGACGCUGCUCUGAGCUACUUUUAUUCCACAUCGUCAGCUCACACCAUCUCUUGCAAAUUCAGAUUCCACUGGCAUUUGGGGUAGGACUCGUUCAUGGUUUUUGCUGGAGUCCUUUUCUGUUGUUUGCUGGUUUAUUUUUUAACUGUGUUUUCCAAACAAAGCCCGCUUACAGACUGACUCGCUUUCCCUGUAAAAUCCACCCUGGUUCUGUACAGCAGGACUGAACCUGUAUCACCUUUCCAGGCCCGUGACUUCCCACAGCACUCAAAGGUCAGGGUGAUGCAGGAGACUUCUGUCUCCCUUGGGGACUCCAUGAAUAUUUUACUAUUGCUUGUUCAAAGAUGGUGGAUCCACAGGCACCCUGAGUAUAAACAUUGUUAUUUCUAAAUCACUGAUGCUAUUGGGCGUACCACACUGCACACAUGACCAUGAGGGUAAGAUUCAUGUAUUUAAUGUUAGAAUCGUAAGUCCAUGCUGGGAAAGUGUCCAAGACCUGGCACAAUUUUCAAGGGGAGAGCAGGGUGGCUGGCACCAGCCUGCUCUGGUCGCACUCAUUCUGGCAGUGCCCAAUGCUCAUGGCCAAGAACCAACCACCUUUUAUUUCCCCCUCUGCAGUGAUGUACACAUACUGGAGCAAAUGCAGCUGACGGACUUCUGCUUCUCUCUACAGACCUCAAACCACUUCCGGAUGAGCACGGCCUCCAUCACUACUACAAACAACGAGGCCUGAGGACAUCACAGCCAAUGCUGUGAGGUCUGUGGUAGCAGAAUUCCUUCUUCCCUCCAGCCAACAACUGUGCCGCAGCAAAUCAGCGCCUCACUCCAGAGCGAGACCAAGCAGCCCACAACUCCCACAUCCACAGCAACCCUCCUCGGGGCUUUGGCAGCGCUUCCACACUCAGGGUCUGAAACCAGGUGCUUUAAGGGAUUUAAUUUAGGGAAAGCAUGGAUUCAUUGUUUCACCCCAGGCUCUUCACAGUGAACCUCAGCCCUAGAAGGCAGGCCCCAUUCCCACAGGCAGCAGUGCCCAGCGGCUUCCCUUCAGGACAGGCCAAGAAACCACUGUGGAUGUGGGCUCUAGGCCUUGCUUUACCUGCUGAGGGAAUGAAAGACCCCUCGAGACUACCACAUAGGAACAUGAGAGUAGAGGGAAGAUUUGAACAAGGAGAUCUCCAACAGGUAGCUGACGUAUGCAAAAUGUGAAGAGACAGGAAGACUAUUUCUCUUGUCACAGCAGCCCCAUCUAGACUGGGAACAAACACAGCAAGAAAGGGCGUUCCCUUAAAAACUGUAAUUGAAUGAGACAUAAAUCACGGCUCACCAAAGUGAGUUAGGUUUGGCUGAUGUACAGAGCUGGGAAGUGAAAGUCACUGGCUGGGUGCCCAAGGGAGGGGAGGAGAUUGGGCACGAGAUAGGCACUGAAGGGGUGCAGACGGAUAGAAAUGUGGGCAGGUCAGUGCCAACGUUGCUCUGGGCCCUACUUCUGUCAUGCCAGCAGGGUGAGGUGUGUGGCAGAACCGACUACGCAGCCUGGAACAAAGAGAAGGAGAGACCAGGACCACUGUUCAGUUAUAAGCUUUUUCUUUUUUAGAAUUCAAGCUUACACAGUUAUCUAUGCCCACUAUAUUCAUAAUUACAUUUUAAUAUCUGCAUACAAAAGCUAUGUAAAAAUUAUUUUCUUCCCCCAAAUAUACAAAUUUUCUCUUUAGAUAGUUUAAAACAUUUGUGAUCACAGAUUUUUAAUAUAUUUUAGGCUGAAAAAAUAUUACCAAUCUAGCAUAACUCUUAACACUGCUUGCAAAAAAAUACAUCAUCCAAGGUAAUUUUUUUUUUACUGUACUGCGUAACGUUUGCCUUACCCUCAGGGCACGAAACUGGUAUAAAAAUAAACCAAAUAAGCAAAACCCACAAACCUCGUAGACAGAGUAAGAAGUCCUCCCACCUAACUUCAUAAAAACAAAUGAACAACCCAAACCACCCUUCUCUUCAAAAAAAUUAUGAAUAACUAAUCUGAUGAAUUUGUGAGCAAACUAAAACUGAAGAGUGCUAGGGAAGUAGGAAAAGAGAAAAAGAAAUUACAGUAUGUCAGCUAGUUCAUGCCCUGAUACUAUCUUCACCAACAUUAAAUGUGUAAUUAAAUAAAGUGUCUUUUAAUGUUUUA